CAGCCGCCGCGGGAAUACAGAGGGUGCGAGCGUUAAUCGGAUUUACUGGGCGUAAAGCGUGCGUAGGCGGCUUCUUAAGUCGGAUGUGAAAUCCCUGAGCUUAACUUAGGAAUUGCAUUCGAUACUGGGAAUCUAGAGUAUGGGAGAGGAUGGUAGAAUUCCAGGUGUAGCGGUGAAAUGCGUAGAGAUCUGGAGGAAUACCGAUGGCGAAGGCAGCCAUCUGGCCUAAUACUGACGCUGAGGUACGAAAGCAUGGGGAGCAAACAGGAUUAGAUACCCCCGUAGUCCCUGUCUCUUAUAC
This 301-nucleotide ribosomal RNA is filed under the name uncultured bacterium. RNAcentral describes it as "partial 16S ribosomal RNA". It matches the Rfam family "Bacterial small subunit ribosomal RNA", at positions 509 to 807 of the family's 1533-position model. The record is from RNAcentral.